RNAcentral lists this transfer RNA (18 nucleotides) under Eulaema bombiformis. RNAcentral's name for it is "partial tRNA-OTHER". RNAcentral also lists the same sequence under 1 other name. Lineage: Eukaryota; Metazoa; Arthropoda; Insecta; Hymenoptera; Apidae. The record is from RNAcentral.
UUUAAAUUUUAUUAAAUU